This 71-nucleotide non-coding RNA is filed under the name Chloropicon mariensis. Lineage: Eukaryota; Viridiplantae; Chlorophyta; Chloropicophyceae; Chloropicales; Chloropicaceae. The record is from RNAcentral.
UUUUUUUGUUUGUGUUUUUUGAAAAGAGAGAGAGAAAACAAGUGAGAAAGAAAGUUUUCACAUUCGUUUUU